UGCCUUCCUAUCGAGAUGUAGAACUUCCUGUUUCUUUCCCAGCAACACUCCUGCCUGCAUGCUGUCCUGCUUCCUGCUGUGAUGAUAAUGGACUGAACCUCUGAAACUGCUGUAGGCAUCUUUAUUAGCUAACCGCGGAUAACUUGGGGCACAAGGUUUACACAGCAAAAGCUGGUGCACGUGAGGAUCUCCAGGGGCAACCAGAUCUUGAGGGCCAGUAUGUGGCGUCUGAGUACACAGGAGCACCGGACCAGCCUCCUCCAGAUGGCAUGGUGGCAAUCCCAGCACUCAGGAAGUUGAUGCAGGAGGAUUGUGAGUUCAAGAUCACCUUGGGCUGUUC
This is a long non-coding RNA of Apodemus sylvaticus (European woodmouse), 340 nucleotides long. RefSeq lists it as uncharacterized. The transcript has 3 exons. Lineage: Eukaryota; Metazoa; Chordata; Mammalia; Rodentia; Muridae. The record is from RefSeq and is a predicted model, not a curated record.